AGAUUAAGUUAUUAAGGGCGCACGGUGGAUGCCUUGGCACUAGAAGCCGAUGAAGGACGUUACUAACGACGAUAUGCUUUGGGUAGCUGUAAGUAAGCGUUGAUCCAGAGAUUUCCGAAUGAGGGAACCCAGCAUGAGUUAUGUCAUGUUAUCGACAUGUGAAUUCAUAGCAUGUCAGAAGGCAGACCCGGAGAACUGAAACAUCUUAGUACCCGGAGGAAGAGAAAGAAAAAUCGAUUCCCUGAGUAGCGGCGAGCGAAACGGGAAAAGCCCAAACCAACAAGCUUGCUUGUUGGGGUUGUAGGACACUCUAUACGGAGUUACAAAAGAACAUGUUAGACGAAUCAUCUGGAAAGAUGAAUCAAAGAAGGUAAUAAUCCUGUAGUCGAAAACAUAUUCUCUCUUGAGUGGAUCCUGAGUACGACGGAGCACGUGAAAUUCCGUCGGAAUCUGGGAGGACCAUCUCCUAAGGCUAAAUACUCUCUAGUGACCGAUAGUGAACCAGUACCGUGAGGGAAAGGUGAAAAGUACCCCGGAAGGGGAGUGAAAGAGAACUUGAAACCGUGUGCUUACAAGUAGUCAGAGCCCGUUAAUGGGUGAUGGCGUGCCUUUUGUAGAAUGAACCGGCGAGUUACGAUCUGAUGCAAGGUUAAGCAGCAAAUGUGGAGCCGCAGCGAAAGCGAGUCUGAAUAGGGCGUUGAGUAUUUGGUCGUAGACCCGAAACCAGGUGAUCUACCCUUGGUCAGGUUGAAGUUCAGGUAACACUGAAUGGAGGACCGAACCGACUUACGUUGAAAAGUGAGCGGAUGAACUGAGGGUAGCGGAGAAAUUCCAAUCGAACUUGGAGAUAGCUGGUUCUCUCCGAAAUAGCUUUAGGGCUAGCCUCAAGUGAUGAUUAUUGGAGGUAGAGCACUGUUUGGACGAGGGGCCCCUCUCGGGUUACCGAAUUCAGACAAACUCCGAAUGCCAAUUAAUUUAACUUGGGAGUCAGAACAUGGGUGAUAAGGUCCGUGUUCGAAAGGGAAACAGCCCAGACCACCAGCUAAGGUCCCAAAAUAUAUGUUAAGUGGAAAAGGAUGUGGCGUUGCCCAGACAACUAGGAUGUUGGCUUAGAAGCAGCCAUCAUUUAAAGAGUGCGUAAUAGCUCACUAGUCGAGUGACACUGCGCCGAAAAUGUACCGGGGCUAAACAUAUUACCGAAGCUGUGGAUUGUCCUUUGGACAAUGGUAGGAGAGCGUUCUAAGGGCGUCGAAGCAUGAUCGCAAGGACAUGUGGAGCGCUUAGAAGUGAGAAUGCCGGUGUGAGUAGCGAAAGACGGGUGAGAAUCCCGUCCACCGAUUGACUAAGGUUUCCAGAGGAAGGCUCGUCCGCUCUGGGUUAGUCGGGUCCUAAGCUGAGGCCGACAGGCGUAGGCGAUGGAUAACAGGUUGAUAUUCCUGUACCACCUAGUAUCGUUUUAAUCGAUGGGGGGACGCAGUAGGAUAGGCGAAGCGUGCUGUUGGAGUGCACGUCCAAGCAGUAAGGCUGAGUGUUAGGCAAAUCCGGCACUCAUAAGGCUGAGCUGUGAUGGGGAGAGGAAAUUGUUUCCUCGAGUCGUUGAUUUCACACUGCCGAGAAAAGCCUCUAGAUAGAUAACAGGUGCCCGUACCGCAAACCGACACAGGUAGUCAAGAUGAGAAUUCUAAGGUGAGCGAGCGAACUCUCGUUAAGGAACUCGGCAAAAUGACCCCGUAACUUCGGGAGAAGGGGUGCUCUUUAGGGUUCACGCCCAGAAGAGCCGCAGUGAAUAGGCCCAAGCGACUGUUUAUCAAAAACACAGGUCUCUGCUAAACCGUAAGGUGAUGUAUAGGGGCUGACGCCUGCCCGGUGCUGGAAGGUUAAGAGGAGUGGUUAGCUUCUGCGAAGCUACGAAUCGAAGCCCCAGUAAACGGCGGCCGUAACUAUAACGGUCCUAAGGUAGCGAAAUUCCUUGUCGGGUAAGUUCCGACCCGCACGAAAGGCGUAACGAUUUGGGCACUGUCUCAACGAGAGACUCGGUGAAAUCAUAGUACCUGUGAAGAUGCAGGUUACCCGCGACAGGACGGAAAGACCCCGUGGAGCUUUACUGUAGCCUGAUAUUGAAAUUCGGCACAGCUUGUACAGGAUAGGUAGGAGCCUUUGAAACGUGAGCGCUAGCUUACGUGGAGGCGUUGGUGGGAUACUACCCUAGCUGUGUUGGCUUUCUAACCCGCACCACUUAUCGUGGUGGGAGACAGUGUCAGGCGGGCAGUUUGACUGGGGCGGUCGCCUCCUAAAAGGUAACGGAGGCGCUCAAAGGUUCCCUCAGAAUGGUUGGAAAUCAUUCAUAGAGUGUAAAGGCAUAAGGGAGCUUGACUGCGAGACCUACAAGUCGAGCAGGGUCGAAAGACGGACUUAGUGAUCCGGUGGUUCCGCAUGGAAGGGCCAUCGCUCAACGGAUAAAAGCUACCCCGGGGAUAACAGGCUUAUCUCCCCCAAGAGUUCACAUCGACGGGGAGGUUUGGCACCUCGAUGUCGGCUCAUCGCAUCCUGGGGCUGUAGUCGGUCCCAAGGGUUGGGCUGUUCGCCCAUUAAAGCGGUACGCGAGCUGGGUUCAGAACGUCGUGAGACAGUUCGGUCCCUAUCCGUCGUGGGCGUAGGAAAUUUGAGAGGAGCUGUCCUUAGUACGAGAGGACCGGGAUGGACAUACCUCUGGUGUACCAGUUGUCGUGCCAACGGCAUAGCUGGGUAGCUAUGUAUGGACGGGAUAAGUGCUGAAAGCAUCUAAGCAUGAAGCCCCCCUCAAGAUGAGAUUUCCCAACUUCGGUUAUAAGAUCCCUCGAAGAUGACGAGGUUAAUAGGUUCGAGGUGGAAGCGUGGUGACACGUGGAGCUGACGAAUACUAAUCGAUCGAAGACUUAAUCAAUUUUUAAA
RNAcentral lists this ribosomal RNA (2931 nucleotides) under Staphylococcus epidermidis. RNAcentral describes it as "23S ribosomal RNA". It matches the Rfam family "Bacterial large subunit ribosomal RNA". The record is from RNAcentral. Lineage: Bacteria; Bacillati; Bacillota; Bacilli; Caryophanales; Staphylococcaceae.